UAAGCUGUCAGUACAGCACUACUGGUACAUGAAAGUCUACACACUAGCACAUCUGUUGAUACACACAGAAAUAUAGCCUGUAACACAGGGAGAACAGCCUGGACAGACACCGCUGCCCAGCAGCGCGGCGCCCAUCAGUCACCACAAGAUGAGCAGGCUGCUGUGCACACUCAUGUCAGCUGCAUAACUGCAGCUCAGCAACCGGGUUCAAGAAAAUAAAAAACCAAGAACCAGUACUUCAAACCAUGAGCAGACUGAUCCUGGAGAUGAGCAAAACCUGUUUCCUUUCUGAAGUCUGUAGAGAAACUUCUCCCUCCCUCUGGUUAAGGAGAACAAUCGGCCUGGCUGCAGCUCUGGCUCACCCUUCCAACACGUAUGUGUUGGAAGCUACAACAUCCCGCAUAGUUUAAAGCAAAGGAAAGGCAAAGGAACUUCCAGCAGGCAAAUACUUCAACCAACAGCACAUUCCCUUAUCAGAUUGUGACACAAUCGUUCCAUGCCGAUGCAGCACCCUGGUCUCGGUUUCCCAGGCAAGGUUAGUAACCACAAGACAUGCAGCAUCAAGCAGAAGGAGCUGGAAUGCAGAAAACCUACCUUGGCAGGUUGGGAGCGGGCGUUGAAGCUGGUGCUUGGGCGGGAGGAGCCGCAGGCUGUGCGGAGUCGUGGUUGCGCGGCACUCUGCCCAUCCGAUACCAGAUACCCAUGCUGUUCAGCUCCCUGGGAAACCAACACACAGCACCAGGGCUGAUGCUGCACGCACGCACCAGCACCAGGCCCUGACGUGUUUCAUCAACACCUUGGUCAGUGAGAACAAGGGUAAUUAAAAAAAAGGAGGGGUGAGUUAACUCCUACGUCUAACUCAGUAACACUUGUUCUUACUUGGGACUUUUCUAAUGAUAAGCUUCACCUCUUACAAGCUACUACUUGGUAAUUAGAGGAGCACAGGGCCCUUGCUUUGGUAUAACUGCAUUAUUGUUAUAACAGCUUUGGAGUGAGGGGUACUCACCCUAUGAAGGUGUACUGAGGAGGGGCUUGCUUAGAUCUGCCCAGGAUUCGGAUAUCGCAGAUCGCUGCCUCUGUAGAAUCCCGAGGGAUGAAUUUAAUGCACAGCCUCUUCUUUCUGAAAGCUACUUCUUCUGCAAAAACAACCCAGAAUACAGGGUGGGUUUUAUGCAAGAUUAGAGUAUAAAUGUUAUUUAUAAUCUCUCCAGGUCCUAGGCAGGUAAUUGUGGCAGAACUGGUGCCAAAGAACAGACAUAUGUCAACAAACCAGUCAGUGCAGCGCCAUUCCAAGGGGAAUGUUCUAUCAGAUGUGCUGUUGGCACUGCAAUAACCAGUUCUCCUCCUGCCUGCUGCAGAGAUCAGCUCCCACGUGUGCCUGGUGCUGCCCCACAGCACAGAACAGCAGCUGACUCUGCCAGUUCCACAUGUCUCUCGCACUCCCUUGCUCUUUCCCAGGCUGGAUUUCGUCCCUGACACGCUCUGGGACCAGCCCUUCUGUGAGGAGCAGCUGCACACCGGGCACCAGCACCAGUCCUGCCAUCCUCUCACUCCACUCCCAUGGGACUGUCCCCUGCCAGCCCAGUGCCCUUGGUGCCUGCUGCACAGCACAGGCCUGCCACCAGACGUGGCUCCAGCUGCUGCUGGCACAAGUCCCAGGGGAGCUGAACACACUGUUUGGGAACUGCUCACUCAUCUAUUGCAGUGAAACAAGUCUACCUUGCAGAAAUGAGCAUGAUAUUCCCCCUGGGCACUGCACUUGCGCCUUGUGUCAGUAAGCACAAAGAUACCUGACACCCCUCAGCACUUGCUGGCAGGACUUGUUCUCCCACAGCAGGAGAUGUACAGUGGGAGGGCACAAACACACCCCCCCUUCCUUUCAGUGCAUUUCUGAACACCCCUUGGCACAGCAGCUCUGCUCCUGCUAGGCACAGCCCACUCUUCAAACUGACAAAAGAAACUCUCCCUUCCUGCCCCAGACAUGGGGCUCUAGCAGGUGAGUGAAGACAGACAGGCAGCCCAUUAAACAGCCUGAGGAGGACAAGAAAACCAAAGGCUGUUUUAUUGCAGCCCAGAGCUGAACCUAAAUGUGCACAUGCCACCCCAGAGAGCAGAAGUGCCAGGAGUGACCCUCUACCAGGGACACAGCUCUUUGUCACCCGGGACACGGCCUUCUGUGACCUGGAACACUGCUCUUUGUCACCUGGGACAUGGCCCUCCACAGCCUGACCACACAAGCACUGGCAGAGUGGGACUGAGGACCAGGUGUCAACUUACGUGUAUCAAUGGUCUCCUGGAUGGGCAUGAAGCCCACAGGCAAAGUGUCCUUGAUAUCAAUGAGCUUCAUGUCGACCAAGACGUUGCCUAAAUGACUCUGUGGAGAGAGAAAAGAAACAGUUGGUUAUAACAAUGUCACCAAAUUAAACCCCAGAUCUUCCCACCUGCUGAAGCCUGAGAUGCCUUGUCAUUGUAUCUGACCACAGCUUUGGAAAUGAUAAGAACGUACCAAGGCAACCCUCGCACGCGUCCUCUCAGCAGGAACCAAACCACGACUGACUAGGAGAUACCAGACAACUUUCAGCAUUUCAAAUUCUAACACCUCACCCACUGCCAUGUUUCCAGAUCUUUGGAAGCACAGCCAAAUUCUUUCUUUUGCAGGCACAGCAGCUUGCAGUACUAAUUUCACCAACCCAUCCACUGAGCAGGUCACCUCAGUUCUUACACACUCUACAGUUACAAGAGCAACGUGGCAUUUCCAUGACAGUAACAGCAAAAAGCAUUACAGGAUGAUGGCUUAUGCACACAGAGCCAAAGUUAUUACAUGCAUUAGCUAAUUAGUGCUGAAUAGACAGGGUUCUAGCUCCAAAUACAGUGCACUCCAGAAGCACAGGCCAUUUGGAACAACAAACUUCAUUUAGAGUCCAUAUGAAUUCUGAGCUCAUGCCUUGUCCUAUUAAUCAAGGCUUGAAGAGCUCAGAGCCCAAUUCAGAGUGACAGCCUCCACAAUGGUUUAGAGACCAGAUUUUCUUUGCAGUUUUCAAUAAAACCAGCGCUGCUGCCAAUAAUCUGGGGUCACAUAUGAAAGAACACAUUUUAGGUACUGCACAGCCU
Molecule: long non-coding RNA, 3111 nt
Organism: Passer domesticus (house sparrow)
Lineage: Eukaryota; Metazoa; Chordata; Aves; Passeriformes; Passeridae
Exons: 3
Source: RefSeq, a predicted model, not a curated record